CUUUGAAUGAUCAUGUGCGACUGAAAAGCCAGGGAUUUUUUUUCUUUCUCUCGGAGCCCCUCCUUAUAUUCAGAGAGACUCGAGUCGCCGUCUGUAGCACAUGUCACAUCCACUGGUUGCUAUAGCGAUGCCUCCACAUGUUGUCCAGAGCGCGCGCGGGGUAGAGGGCCAGCUUGAAUGGACGGAGAGCUUGUCACUCAUUUGUUCAACUAUUCGGGAUUUCUGUGCCUGCUGGAUCGCUGGAUUUUCCCCACAUUUUCUCCCAUGUCUUUCACCCGUUAUAUUGCAAUCAGAACUAACUAAUGUUGCAACGCCUACUACCAACUACAGUCAGUACGAGCCAGACAGAGAAGGACGCUUCACUCUCCACUGCCUAGAACGACCCGACGUUUUACCGUGACAGCUGUAGUUGGCAGAAAUCAGAGAGGAACAAAAAGUGGUUCGCCCCAUUCCAGAAUCUCUAAAACAGACUACAGAAGGAGGAAGUGAUGUUAAACAAGCAUCCACAUGGAGGGUGAAGUCAGGCUGCCUCCAACCAUACCCACAGCACCAUCUAUCAGUGUCUCU
Long non-coding RNA from Carassius gibelio (silver crucian carp), 567 nucleotides. RefSeq lists it as uncharacterized. The record is from RefSeq and is a predicted model, not a curated record. The transcript is spliced from 3 exons. Lineage: Eukaryota; Metazoa; Chordata; Actinopteri; Cypriniformes; Cyprinidae.